RNAcentral lists this ribosomal RNA (374 nucleotides) under uncultured prokaryote. Its description in RNAcentral is "bacterial SSU rRNA". It matches the Rfam family "Bacterial small subunit ribosomal RNA", at positions 524 to 896 of the family's 1533-position model. The record is from RNAcentral.
UACGUAGGUGGCAAGCGUUGUCCGGAAUUAUUGGGCGUAAAGCGCGCGCAGGUGGGAUAUUAAGUCUGGUGUUAAAGUUCGGGGCUCAACCCCGUGAAGCAUUUGGAAACUGAUAUUCUUGAGUGCAGGAGAGGAAAGUGGAAUUCCUAGUGUAGCGGUGAAAUGCGUAGAUAUUAGGAGGAACACCAGUGGCGAAGGCGACUUUCUGGACUGUGUCUGACACUGAGGCGCGAAAGCCAGGGUAGUGAACGGGAUUAGAUACCCCGGUAAUCCUGGCCGUAAACGAUGGGUACUAGGUGUUGGGGGUAUCGACCCCUCCAGUGCCGGAGUUAACGCAAUAAGUACCCCGCCUGGGGAGUACGGCCGCAAGGUUG